Molecule: ribosomal RNA, 320 nt
Filed under: uncultured Prevotella sp.
Lineage: Bacteria; Pseudomonadati; Bacteroidota; Bacteroidia; Bacteroidales; Prevotellaceae
Description: partial 16S ribosomal RNA
Source: RNAcentral
GGAGUUUGGUCCGUGUCUCAGUACCAAUGUGGGGGACCUUCCUCUCAGAACCCCUACUGAUCGUCGGCUCGGUGGGCCGUUACCCCGCCGACUGCCUAAUCAGACGCAUCCCCAUCCCUUACCGAUGAAUCUUUGCUCCUCAUCUGAUGCCAUCAAAGGAGAACAUAGAGUAUUAAUCCGACUUUCGCCGGGCUAUCCUCUAGUAAGGGGAAGGUUGGAUACGCGUUACUCACCCGUGCGCCGGUCGCCAUCAAAGGAAGCAAGCUUCCUUCAUGCUGCCCCACGACUUGCAUGUGUUAAGCCUGUAGCUAGCGUUCAUC